This 345-nucleotide unclassified non-coding RNA is filed under the name soil metagenome. Its description in RNAcentral is "partial contains 5.8S ribosomal RNA, internal transcribed spacer 2, and large subunit ribosomal RNA". The stretch from base 1 to 120 matches the Rfam family "5.8S ribosomal RNA", at positions 35 to 154 of the family's 154-position model. The record is from RNAcentral.
GAUGAAGAACGUAGCGAAAUGCGAUACGUAAUGUGAAUUGCAGAAUUCAGUGAAUCAUCGAGUCUUUGAACGCACAUUGCGCCCCCUGGUAUUCCGGGGGGCAUGCCUGUCCGAGCGUCAUUGCUGCCCUCAAGCACGGCUUGUGUGUUGGGCCUCCGUCCUCCUCCCGGGGGACGGGCCCGAAAGGCAGCGGCGGCACCGCGUCCGGUCCUCGAGCGUAUGGGGCUUCGUCACCCGCUCUUGUAGGCCCGGCCGGCGCUUGCCGACACAUCAAUCUUUUUUCCAGGUUGACCUCGGAUCAGGUAGGGAUGCCCGCUGAACUUAAGCAUAUCAAUAAGCGGAGGA